This 236-nucleotide unclassified non-coding RNA is filed under the name plant metagenome. RNAcentral describes it as "partial contains small subunit ribosomal RNA, internal transcribed spacer 1, and 5.8S ribosomal RNA". The record is from RNAcentral.
UUUCCGUAGGUGAACCUGCGGAAGAAUCAUUAGUGAAUAUUAGGGCGUCUACUUCGGUAGGGCCUGACUUCCACUUUCUAACUCUGUGCACUUAUUUGGCGGAAAAGGGAAUUAGUAAUCUGUCUAAUGGCGAUUGCGACUUCUUACUUUCUGCGGCUUACUUUAAACACUAGUCAAAGUAUGUAACGAAAUAUCGAAACAAAUAAAAACUUUCAACAACGGAUCUCUUGGCUCUC